RNAcentral lists this microRNA precursor (168 nucleotides) under Pelobates cultripes (western spadefoot toad). The record is from RNAcentral. Lineage: Eukaryota; Metazoa; Chordata; Amphibia; Anura; Pelobatidae.
GCAGACACAUUCCAGCCAAUUAGCAGCAGACCCUCCCUCCCAGACCCUCCCACCUCCUGGACAGCUGACUAAGAAUGCAGCUUCACAAUGAAUGUAAAAUGGAUGCUGUCCAGGAGGUGGGAGGGUCUGGGAGGGAGGGUCUGCUGCUGAUUGGCUGGAAUGUGUCUG